This 1464-nucleotide ribosomal RNA is filed under the name uncultured prokaryote. RNAcentral describes it as "partial 16S ribosomal RNA". It matches the Rfam family "Bacterial small subunit ribosomal RNA". The record is from RNAcentral.
UUUGAUCCUGGCUCAGGGUUAACGCUAGCGGUGUGCCUAACACAUGCAAGUCGAGCGGGAUUGAGAGAAAGCUUGCUUUUGAAAUUGAGAGCGGCGAACGGGUGAGUAACAUGUUGAUAUUUGCCCCCAAGUCAGGGAUAGCUCAUCGAAAGAUGAAUUAAUACCGGAUAGUCUCUUCGGAGUAAAGAUUUAUCGCUUGGGGAGAAGUCUACAUUCUAUCAGCUUGUUGGUAAGGUAAUGGCUUACCAAGGCUAUGACGGAUAGUUGGUCUGAGAGGAUGAUCAACCACAAUGGAACUGAGACACGGUCCAUACUCCUACGGGAGGCAGCAGUGAGGAAUCUUCCACAAUGGGCGAAAGCCUGAUGGAGUGACACCGCGUGAAGGAUGACGGUUUAACGAUUGUAAACUUCUUUUCUGAAGGAGCAUAAUGAGAGUACUUUAGGAAUAAGGGACGGCUAAUUACGUGCCAGCAGCCGCGGUAAUACGUAAGUCCCGAGCAUGACCCGGAAUCACAGGGUGUAAAGCGUCUGUAGGCUGAUAAGUAAGUCAAAAAUGAAAGACUGGGGCUCAACCCCAAGUUUGUAUUUGAAACUGCUUAUCUAGAAUCAGGGAGAGGUAAGCGGAAUUCUAAGUGUAUGGGUGCAAUCCGUAGAUACUUAGAAGAACACCAAAAGCGAAGGCAGCUUACUGGAACUCGAUUGACGCUGAGAGACGAAAGCGUGGGUAGCGAAAAGGAUUAGAUACCCUUGUAGUCCACGCCCUAAACGAUGGUAAUUAAGUUUGGAGGUUGCUCCAGUGCUGUAGCUAACGCGUUAAAUUACCCACCUGAGGAGUACGGUCGCAAGAUUAAAACUCAAAGGAAUAGACGGGGACCCACACAAGCAGUGGAUCAUGUUGUUUAAUUCGACAAUAAACGGGGAACCUUACCCAGACUUGACAUCCUAGGAAUUUUCAAAUAGGGAAGUGCUCUCUUCGAGAGAAUUUGGUGACAGGUGCUGCAUGGCUGUCGUCAGCUCGUGUCGUGAGAUGUUGGGUUAAGUCCCGCAACGAGCGCAACCCUCGCCAUUAGUCGCCAUCAUUAAGUUGGGCACUCUAAUGGGACUGCCGGUGUCAAACCGGAGGAAGGCGGGGAUGACGUCAAGUCCUCAUGGCCUUUAUGACCAGGGCUACACACGUACUACAAUGGCCGGUACAACGGGCACCCACUUCGCGAGAAGGAGCAAAUCCCUAAAAGCCGGUCUCAGUCCGGAUUGGAGUCUGCAACUCGACUCCAUGAAGUUGGAAUCGCUAGUAAUCGUGGAUCAGCAUGCCGCGGUGAAUACGUUCCCGGGCCUUGUACACACCGCCCGUCACACCACGGGAGUUGGUUGUACCAGAAGCGGUUGAGCUAACCUUCGGGAGGCAUGCCGCCAAGGUAUGGCUGGUAACUGGGGUGAAGUCGUAACAAGGUAGCCAAGGGCGAA